This is a long non-coding RNA of Bos taurus (domestic cattle), 906 nucleotides long. The record is from Ensembl. NCBI's taxonomy places the organism in Eukaryota, Metazoa, Chordata, Mammalia, Artiodactyla, Bovidae.
CACAUGAUGGUGCACUUAUCAGAACCUCAAGGGCAGGAAGGAAAUGGUGCAACAGCUUCAAGAGCUGAAAGAAAACCGCCGAUCCCGAUUCUAUAGCCGUGUCCACCUCUCGGCGACCCCAUGGACUGUAGUCCGCCGGGCUCCUCUGUCCAUGGGAUUUCCAGGCAAGAAUCCUGGAGUGGGUUACCAUUUCCUCCUCCAUUCCUUCAGAAAUGAAGGGAAGGGUGGAAGACACUCUCAGGAGACACAGGUUCAAUCCCUGGUCUGGGAAGAUCCCACGUGCCACGGAGCAACCGAGCCCGGGUGCCGCAACUACAGAGCCUGCGCCUGAGAGCCCGGGGAGCCACAGCUACUGAAGCGCGCGUGCCGGAGAGCCUGUGCUCUCAGCGAGAGAGGCCACCGCGGUGAGAAACCUGCGCACCAUAACUAGAGGGGAGCCCCCGCUCACCACAGCUACAGAGAAGCCCGUGCGGCAACGAAGACCCAGCACAACCAGAAAUAAACAAAGAAUUAAAAAAAAAAAAGGUAUGGAACACUCAGGACAAUCAGACACACUCAGAGAAGCCACACCCUCACAGUAAGGCCAAAUGAACUCUAGAAUAUCCCCAGAGGUUGUUUUUAAGCCUUGAAAGGAUAAGCUGAACUAGUCAUUUUAUCAACCUCCAAAACAUAGUUAGUUUCACUUUAAAGACAGGAAGCAGAAUCUGUAUACUCAACAGCAUAACUUCGGGGACUUCCCUGGCAGUCCAAGGGUUAGGACUCUGUCCUUUCACAGCCAAGGGCGUGAGUUCACUCCCUGCUCGGGAACAAAGUUCCUGCAAGCUGACUGGCUCGAACGAAAAAACGAAAAACGACGUAACUGUCCUAUCACAGAGCGCAUAGGCAGUCAAAAGCAACGCUGCAGUC